This 274-nucleotide ribosomal RNA is filed under the name uncultured bacterium. Its description in RNAcentral is "partial 16S ribosomal RNA". It matches the Rfam family "Bacterial small subunit ribosomal RNA", at positions 523 to 796 of the family's 1533-position model. The record is from RNAcentral.
AUACGGAGGGUGCAAGCGUUAUCCGGAAUCAUUGGGUUUAAAGGGUCCGUAGGCGGGCGAUUAAGUCAGAGGUGAAAUCCCACAGCUCAACUGUGGAACUGCCUUUGAUACUGGUUGUCUUGAGUUACAGUGAAGUAGAUAGAAUGUGUAGUGUAGCGGUGAAAUGCAUAGAUAUUACACAGAAUACCGAUUGCGAAGGCAGUCUACUAACUGUAUACUGACGCUAAUGGACGAAAGCGUGGGGAGCAAACAGGAUUAGAUACCCUAGUAGUCC